CAGCCUGCACGCACCUUGGUCCUGCCCUGCACGCACAGUGCUCCUCAGUUUCUCUACCUUCUUCCGAGCUCUCGAGAGCACCACAAGGGGAGAUGCUCUGCUUUAGGGGAAGAACCGAUUGUCCUCCUCCUCCAAUUGUACUCGCGGAACCGAUACUUAUUGAUGCCUGUGACGUCCUGAGUAUCUAACAAGGGGUUUGAAACUGGAACCGACUUGGACCUGCCUGCCCUCACAACUGCUUGAAGAUUUAAGAGAUCGGACCUCUGUGGAAAUCCUUUCUCUCCUGUUUUGGAAUGGCUGUCAACAUGGCAAGUGCAGUGAUCAGUGAGGUUCCAUUCUAAACAGUCUACAUGCAUUAAUUCAGUAAUCCUCUCAACAGCC
Marmota flaviventris (yellow-bellied marmot) is the source of this 381-nucleotide long non-coding RNA. RefSeq lists it as uncharacterized. The record is from RefSeq and is a predicted model, not a curated record. NCBI's taxonomy places the organism in Eukaryota, Metazoa, Chordata, Mammalia, Rodentia, Sciuridae.